This 172-nucleotide ribosomal RNA is filed under the name uncultured Alphaproteobacteria bacterium. RNAcentral describes it as "partial 16S ribosomal RNA". It matches the Rfam family "Bacterial small subunit ribosomal RNA", at positions 335 to 524 of the family's 1533-position model. The record is from RNAcentral. Lineage: Bacteria; Pseudomonadati; Pseudomonadota; Alphaproteobacteria.
ACUCCUACGGGAGGCAGCAGUGGGGAAUAUUGGACAAUGGGGGCAACCCUGAUCCAGCCAUGCCGCGUGAGUGAUGAAGGCCUUCGGGUUGUAAAGCUCUUUUGGCGGGGACGAUGAUGACGGUACCCGCAGAAUAAGCCCCGGCUAACUUCGUGCCAGCAGCCGCGGUAAU